RNAcentral lists this ribosomal RNA (429 nucleotides) under Bacteroidota bacterium. RNAcentral's name for it is "Bacteroidetes bacterium partial 16S ribosomal RNA". It matches the Rfam family "Bacterial small subunit ribosomal RNA", at positions 355 to 776 of the family's 1533-position model. The record is from RNAcentral. Lineage: Bacteria; Pseudomonadati; Bacteroidota.
UAGGGAAUCUUCCGCAAUGGGCGAAAGCCUGACGGAGCAACGCCGCGUGAGUGAUGAAGGUCUUCGGAUCGUAAAACUCUGUUAUUAGGGAAGAAUAAAUGUGUAAGUAACUAUGCACGUCUUGACGGUACCUAAUCAGAAAGCCACGGCUAACUACGUGCCAGCAGCCGCGGUAAUACGUAGGUGGCAAGCGUUAUCCGGAAUUAUUGGGCGUAAAGCGCGCGUAGGCGGUUUUUUAAGUCUGAUGUGAAAGCCCACGGCUCAACCGUGGAGGGUCACUGGAAACUGGAAAACUUGAGUGCAGAAGAGGAGAGUGGAAUUCCAUGUGUAGCGGUGAAAUGCGUAGAUAUAUGGAGGAACACCGGUGGCGAAAGCGGCUCUCUGGUCUGUAACUGACGCUGAGGCUCGAAAGCGUGGGGAGCGAACAGG